This 531-nucleotide ribosomal RNA is filed under the name uncultured bacterium. RNAcentral describes it as "partial 16S ribosomal RNA". It matches the Rfam family "Bacterial small subunit ribosomal RNA", at positions 28 to 523 of the family's 1533-position model. The record is from RNAcentral.
GACGAACGCUGGCGGCGUGCCUAAUACAUGCAAGUCGAACGCACUGACGUCGACAGAAGGUGCUUGCACUGGAAGUUGAUUGACGUGAGUGGCGGACGGGUGAGUAACACGUGAGUAACCUGCCCUUAAGCGGGGGAUAACAUUUGGAAACAGAUGCUAAUACCGCAUAAAAGUUGAGAUCACAUGGUCUUAAUUUGAAAGACGGCCUUUGGCUGUCACUUCAGGAUGGACCCGCGGCGUAUUAGCUAGUUGGUGAGAUAAUAGCCCACCAAGGCGAUGAUACGUAGCCGACAUGAGAGGGUAAUCGGCCACAUUGGGACUGAGACACGGCCCAAACUCCUACGGGAGGCAGCAGUAGGGAAUCUUCCACAAUGGACGAAAGUCUGAUGGAGCAACGCCGCGUGAGUGAAGAAGGUUUUCGGAUCGUAAAACUCUGUUGUUGGAGAAGAACAGGGACUAGAGUAACUGUUAGUCCUUUGACGGUAUCCAACCAGAAAGCCACGGCUAACUACGUGCCAGCCGCCGCCGUAA